GUUUAGGGGUAAACCUGAGAAACCCGAAAAGUCGAAUGGGGAAAUUCAUUCGUGUAUCGGCUGGACAGAAUUGAAUAGAUGUCUAAGAGACGCAUAGUGUUCUUCAUCGAACACAUAGCGCUCCUUCUAUUUGAUAUAAUACUGUUGUCGAACGCGUGCACUUUUCCCCUAGUAGGACAUCGUGAUCCGUUAGGCGUUGGUCUAAGGCAUAUGCGGUGGAGCUUGUAAAUUCAAUAUUUUUACAAUAUUGAGACUUUUGCAAACCCGUAAUGUUCUGGCCAACAAGCUUGACGGUAUAUGAAAGGCGCGAGGCCGCUAUUUAUUAGCGUCUGGCCCGUAGCAAGCGCGCCCGAUGUAUGUUGGUGACCGGCCCUGGUGCCGUUCCCGACCUCGUGGUGACUGUUGGCUGCGGUGUUCUCAGACAGACCUCGUUUAGUAGCAUUUUAUGUUGCUAACGCCGAUCUACGAUGCUAUUAGCUUUGGGUACUUUCAGGACCCGUCUUGAAACACGGACCAAGGAGUCUAGCAUGUGCGCAAGUCAUUGGGAAAUAACUAAACCUAAAGGCGCAAUGAAAGUAAAAGUUCGUCUUGUGCGAGCUAAGGGAGGAUGAGUGGUUUUACAUUUUUAAUGGCCAUUCCGCACUCCCGGGGCGUCUCGUUCUCAUUGCGAGAUGAGGCGCACCAAGAGCGUACACGCUGGGACCCGAAAGAUGGUGAACUAUGCCUGGUCAGGACGAAGUCAGGGGAAACCCUGAUGGAGGUCCGUAGCGAUUCUGACGUGCAAAUCGAUCGUCUGAACUGGGUAUAGGGGCGAAAGACUAAUCGAACCAUC
RNAcentral lists this ribosomal RNA (832 nucleotides) under Apoderus jekelii. RNAcentral's name for it is "eukaryotic LSU rRNA". It matches the Rfam family "Eukaryotic large subunit ribosomal RNA", at positions 407 to 944 of the family's 3401-position model. The record is from RNAcentral. Lineage: Eukaryota; Metazoa; Arthropoda; Insecta; Coleoptera; Attelabidae.